Molecule: ribosomal RNA, 385 nt
Filed under: Equus kiang (kiang)
Lineage: Eukaryota; Metazoa; Chordata; Mammalia; Perissodactyla; Equidae
Description: partial 12S ribosomal RNA
Rfam family: Bacterial small subunit ribosomal RNA
Source: RNAcentral
AAAAUAGCUCAUCACAACAAAGCUAUUCGCCAGAGUACUACUAGCAACAGCCUAAAACUCAAAGGACUUGGCGGUGCUUUAUAUCCCUCUAGAGGAGCCUGUUCCAUAAUCGAUAAACCCCGAUAAACCCCACCAUCCCUUGCUAAUUCAGCCUAUAUACCGCCAUCUUCAGCAAACCCUAAACAAGGUACCGAAGUAAGCACAAACAUCCAACAUAAAAACGUUAGGUCAAGGUGUAGCCCAUGGGAUGGAGAGAAAUGGGCUACAUUUUCUACUCUAAGAACAAGAAUUUAACCCAGACGGAAGUCUCCAUGAAAUUGGAGACCGAAGGAGGAUUUAGCAGUAAAUUAAGAAUAGAGAGCUUAAUUGAAUCAGGCCAUGAAGC